This 278-nucleotide ribosomal RNA is filed under the name uncultured bacterium. RNAcentral's name for it is "partial 16S ribosomal RNA". It matches the Rfam family "Bacterial small subunit ribosomal RNA", at positions 77 to 353 of the family's 1533-position model. The record is from RNAcentral.
UUGCUAAGUUUGAUGGCGACCGGCGCACGGGUGAGUAACACGUAUCCAACCUGCCCUUUACUCGGGGAUAGCCUUUCGAAAGAAAGAUUAAUACCCGAUGGCAUAAUGAUUCCGCAUGGUUUCAUUAUUAAAGGAUUCCGGUAAAGGAUGGGGAUGCGUUCCAUUAGGUUGUUGGUGGGGUAACGGCCCACCAAGCCUUCGAUGGAUAGGGGUUCUGAGAGGAAGGUCCCCCACAUUGGAACUGAGACACGGUCCAAACUCCUACGGGAGGCAGCAUG